UUUAUCCAAAAAUAGAACAGGCAGCUAUCACGCCCUAGUGGUCUUAAAGAGAUACCGGAGGACCACUCGGUUGGAUAAU
The submitters of this non-coding RNA (79 nucleotides) gave its source as unclassified sequences. The record is from Rfam.